GAUGAACGCUGGCGGCGUGCCUAAUACAUGCAAGUCGAGCGAACAGAUGAGGAGCUUGCUCCUCUGACGUUAGCGGCGGACGGGUGAGUAACACGUGGAUAACCUACCUAUAAGACUGGGAUAACUUCGGGAAACCGGAGCUAAUACCGGAUAAUAUAUUGAACCGCAUGGUUCAAUAGUGAAAGACGGUUUUGCUGUCACUUAUAGAUGGAUCCGCGCCGCAUUAGCUAGUUGGUAAGGUAACGGUUUACCAAGGCAACGAUGCGUAGCCGACCUGAGAGGGUGAUCGGCCACACUGGAACUGAGACACGGUCCAGACUCCUACGGGAGGCAGCAGUAGGGAAUCUUCCGCAAUGGGCGAAAGCUUGACGGAGCAACGCCGCGUGAGUGAUGAAGGUCUUCGGAUCGUAAAACUCUGUUAUUAGGGAAGAACAAAUGUGUAAGUAACUAUGCACGUCUUGACGGUACCUAAUCAGAAAGCCACGGCUAACUACGUG
This 497-nucleotide ribosomal RNA is filed under the name uncultured bacterium. RNAcentral describes it as "partial 16S ribosomal RNA". It matches the Rfam family "Bacterial small subunit ribosomal RNA", at positions 28 to 507 of the family's 1533-position model. The record is from RNAcentral.